AGAUUGAACUGAAGAGUUUGAUCCUGGCUCAGAUUGAACGCUGGCGGCAUGCCUUACACAUGCAAGUCGAACGGCAGCACGGGCUUCGGCCUGGUGGCGAGUGGCGAACGGGUGAGUAAUACAUCGGAACGUGCCCUGUAGUGGGGGAUAACUAGUCGAAAGAUUAGCUAAUACCGCAUACGACCUGAGGGUGAAAGCGGGGGACCGUAAGGCCUCGCGCUACAGGAGCGGCCGAUGUCUGAUUAGCUAGUUGGUGGGGUAAGAGCCUACCAAGGCGACGAUCAGUAGCUGGUCUGAGAGGACGAUCAGCCACACUGGGACUGAGACACGGCCCAGACUCCUACGGGAGGCAGCAGUGGGGAAUUUUGGACAAUGGGGGCAACCCUGAUCCAGCAAUGCCGCGUGUGUGAAGAAGGCCUUCGGGUUGUAAAGCACUUU
RNAcentral lists this ribosomal RNA (438 nucleotides) under Cupriavidus sp. L7L. RNAcentral's name for it is "bacterial SSU rRNA". It matches the Rfam family "Bacterial small subunit ribosomal RNA", at positions 1 to 436 of the family's 1533-position model. Lineage: Bacteria; Pseudomonadati; Pseudomonadota; Betaproteobacteria; Burkholderiales; Burkholderiaceae. The record is from RNAcentral.